CUUAUGGUGUCACUUAUCUCUCGAAUUCUCCCCUCGUGGUCCAGUAGCUGUUUGUCCCUCUUUUGCUCAGCUUCUUUAUUCUCUGUCAUUUGGUCUUCUAUAUCACUAAUUCUUUCUUCUGCCUCAUUUAUCCUAGCAGUUAGAGCCUCCAUUUUUUAUUGCACCUCAUUAAUAGCUUUUUUGAUUUCACCUUGGUUAGAUUUUAGUUCUUUUAUUUCUCCAGAAAGGGCUUUUAUAUCUCUCGAGAGGGUUUCUCUAAUAUCUUCCAUGCCUUUUUCGAGCCCGGCUAGAACCUUGAGAAUUGUCAUUCUGAACUCUAGAUCUGACAUAUUACCGAUGUCUGUAUUGAUUAGGUCCCUAGCCUUCGGUACUGCCUCUUGUUCUUUUUUUUGUGUUGAAUUUUUACGUCUUGUCAUUUUGUCCAGAUAAGAGUAAAUGAAGGGGCAAGUAAAAUACUAAAAGGGUGGCAACAACCCCAGGAAAAUAUGCUUUAACCAAAUUAGAAGAGAUCCAAAAUCGUGAGUGGGGAGAAAGGGGAUAAAAAGAGGUUCAAAAAGGAAGAAAGAAAAAAAAAACAAAAAGAAAAGAAAAAGAAAAAAAAAAAGAAAAGAAAAGAAUUUUUAAAAAAAGAAAACACCUGAGAAAAAUGUAAAAUAUAUAUAUAUAUAUAUAUAUAUAUAUAUUAGAUAAACUAGUAAAAAAUCGUUAAAAAAGAAAAAGGUAACAGUUAAAAAAAAAUUUUACCCGAAGGCGAGAAAAAAAAAAAAAUGAAAAAGAAAAAAUUAAAUUAACUGCAAGACUAAAAAAAAUCACAGGAAAAAAGCCAUGAGUUCCGUGCUUGGCUUUCUCCUCCUCUGGAAUUCUGCUGCUCUCCUUGGUAUUGAAACCGCACUCCUUGGUAGGUGAACUUGGUCUCGGCUGGAUUUCUUGUUGAUCUUCUGGGGGAGGGGCCUGUUGUAGUGAUUCUCAAGUGUCUUUGCCCCAGGCGGAAUUACACCGCCCUUACCCGGGGCCGGGGUGAGUAAUCCGCUCGGGUUUGCUUUCAGGAGCUUUUGUUCCCUGAGCGCUUUCCGUAGAGUUCCAGAGGACGGGAAUACAAAUGGCGGCCUCCUGGUCUCCGGCCCGGAGGAGCCGAGAGCCCAGGGCCCCACUCCUCAGGGCGCCCUCAGAGAACAGCGCCCAGUUACUCCCGUCUGCCUGACCUCCGGCCGUGCCCCGAGCUCACCGAGCCUGCGACCGGUUCAAGGAUCUAAGACUGUUUGACAAAGGAAUCUGAAUGAAUUCCAUUCUGAUGCUCAAGCUGGGAUCCAAAGGACCUAACCUAGUUAACAUGGCAAAAGGGCUGAGAGCUGUUUGAGAGCAGGAACACUUGUCUCUUCUCUGCUUCUCCUCCAGUUUCUAGCAGUGAUUCUGGGUGUGAUGGAAUAAGAAGUAACAGGAUUUAGGAAAACAUAUUUUUAAUAUUCCCUGCAAGGCCAUGACGAAGACCUUCACUGAAAUGAUAUUUCCUGCUUCUUGUGGCUCUGGAGCACAGAAGAUGAGAUUCUAGACCGGAAGCAAGACUGGAGGAAUUCUCUUAAAAAAUAAUGAUGGGGGCCCCUGGGUGGCUCAGUGGGUUAAAGCCUCUGCCUUCGGCUCAGGUCAUGAUCCCAGGGUCCUGGGAUCGAACCCCCGCAUCGGACUCUCUGCUCAGCGCCCCAGUGCCUGCCUCUCUGCCUACUUGUGAUUUC
Mustela lutreola (European mink) is the source of this 1730-nucleotide long non-coding RNA. RefSeq lists it as uncharacterized. The transcript is spliced from 4 exons. The record is from RefSeq and is a predicted model, not a curated record. NCBI's taxonomy places the organism in Eukaryota, Metazoa, Chordata, Mammalia, Carnivora, Mustelidae.